CAGAGGUGGCAAGCGUUGUUCGGAUUCAUUGGGCGUAAAGGGUUCGUAGGCGGACCGGAAAGUCAGAUGUGAAAUCCCACAGCUCAACUGUGGAACUGCAUUUGAAACUUCCGGACUAGAGUGUGAGAGGGGUAAAGGGAAUUCCCGGUGUAAGGGUGAAAUCUGCAGAGAUCGGGAGGAACACCAGUCGCGAAGGCGCUUUACUGGCUCACUACUGACGCUCAGGAACGAAAGCUAGGGUAGCAAACGGGAUUAGAUACCCCGGUAGUCCUAGCCGUAAACUAUGGUCACUAGGUGUUGGAGGGUUAAACCUUUCAGUGCCGUCGCUCACGCAUUAAGUGACCCGCCUGGGGAGUACGGUCGCAAGGCUG
RNAcentral lists this ribosomal RNA (371 nucleotides) under uncultured organism. Its description in RNAcentral is "bacterial SSU rRNA". It matches the Rfam family "Bacterial small subunit ribosomal RNA", at positions 526 to 896 of the family's 1533-position model. The record is from RNAcentral.